GACGAACGCUGGCGGCGUGCUUAACACAUGCAAGUCGAGCGGUAAGGCCCUUUUGGGGGGUACACGAGCGGCGAACGGGUGAGUAACACGUGGGUGACCUGCCCUCAGCUCUGGGAUAAGCCUGGGAAACUGGGUCUAAUACUGGAUAUGACCUUUCCUCGCAUGGGGUUGGGUGGAAAGUUUUUCGGCUGGGGAUGGGCCCGCGGCCUAUCAGCUUGUUGGUGGGGUGAUGGCCUACCAAGGCGACGACGGGUAGCCGGCCUGAGAGGGCGACCGGCCACACUGGGACUGAGACACGGCCCAGACUCCUACGGGAGGCAGCAGUGGGGAAUAUUGCGCAAUGGGCGGAAGCCUGACGCAGCGACGCCGCGUGGGGGAUGA
Molecule: ribosomal RNA, 381 nt
Filed under: uncultured bacterium
Lineage: Bacteria
Description: bacterial SSU rRNA
Rfam family: Bacterial small subunit ribosomal RNA
Source: RNAcentral